This 584-nucleotide non-coding RNA is filed under the name Veillonella montpellierensis DNF00314. RNAcentral's name for it is "Bacterial small subunit ribosomal RNA". It matches the Rfam family "Bacterial small subunit ribosomal RNA", at positions 283 to 868 of the family's 1533-position model. Lineage: Bacteria; Bacillati; Bacillota; Negativicutes; Veillonellales; Veillonellaceae. The record is from Rfam by way of RNAcentral.
GUAGGGGUUCUGAGAGGAAGGUCCCCCACAUUGGAACUGAGACACGGUCCAAACUCCUACGGGAGGCAGCAGUGAGGAAUAUUGGUCAAUGGACGCAAGUCUGAACCAGCCAAGUAGCGUGCAGGAUGACGGCCCUAUGGGUUGUAAACUGCUUUUAUAUGGGGAUAAAGUGGGGAACGUGUUCCCUUUUGCAGGUACCAUAUGAAUAAGGACCGGCUAAUUCCGUGCCAGCAGCCGCGGUAAUACGGAAGGUUCGGGCGUUAUCCGGAUUUAUUGGGUUUAAAGGGAGCGUAGGCCGUUUGGUAAGCGUGUUGUGAAAUGUAGGAGCUCAACUUCUAGAUUGCAGCGCGAACUGUCAGACUUGAGUGCGCACAACGUAGGCGGAAUUCAUGGUGUAGCGGUGAAAUGCUUAGAUAUCAUGAAGAACUCCGAUUGCGAAGGCAGCUUACGGGAGCGCAACUGACGCUGAAGCUCGAAGGUGCGGGUAUCGAACAGGAUUAGAUACCCUGGUAGUCCGCACAGUAAACGAUGGAUGCCCGCUGUUAGCACCUAGUGUUAGCGGCUAAGCGAAAGCAUUAAGCAUC